This 274-nucleotide ribosomal RNA is filed under the name uncultured bacterium. RNAcentral describes it as "partial 16S ribosomal RNA". It matches the Rfam family "Bacterial small subunit ribosomal RNA", at positions 523 to 796 of the family's 1533-position model. The record is from RNAcentral.
AUACGGAGGGUGCGAGCGUUGUUCGGAAUCACUGGGCGUAAAGGGCGCGCAGGCGGUUUGUCAAGUCAGAUGUGAAAGGCCACGGCUCAACCGUGGAGGUGCAUCUGAAACUGGCAGACUUGAGUACCGGAGGGGAAAGUGGAAUUCCCGGUGUAGAGGUGAAAUUCGUAGAUAUCAGGAGGAACACCGGAGGCGAAGGCGACUUUCUGGACGGAUACUGACGCUCAGGCGCGAAAGCGUGGGGAGCAAACAGGAUUAGAAACCCCAGUAGUCC